AUGACACCUAAGUUUGACUGUGUUAAAUCUUUUAUGGAUACCGAUGCUUUUCGUGGAUUUAGCGCUAAAUAUGGACUUGACUCUGAGAUAGUAGCUUCUUUCUGUGAAUCUUUUGCUGCUCACGUUGAUCUCCCUAAGGAGAAGUGGUUUAAAUAUGAUCCUACCAUUGAAGUAAAAGUAGUUGCACCUAUUACAGUUCAAGAAAAGACUAUCACUUAUAAUGAUCCUAUUGUUCCUACUACUUAUGUUGAGAAACCACCUUUCCCUGUUAGGAUAAAGGAUCAUGCUAAAGCUUCAACUGUUGUUCGUAAGAGUAAUACUAGAACAUAUACACCUCCUGAGCAAAUUAAAGUUGAACCUAGUAUUGCUAUGGUUAAAGAUCUCUUGGAUGAUAAUAUACAUAGACCUGUUAAUAUUGCUAGACCUGAUGCUAAUAUACAUAGACCUGUUGUAGGCAUGCCUGUUAUUUCUGUUAAAAUAGGAGAUCAUUGUUAUCAUGGCUUAUGUGAUAUGGGUGCUAGUGCUAGUGCAAUACCUCAUUCCUUAUAUGAAGAAAUUAUGCGUGAUAUUGCACCCACUGAAAUAGAAGGUAUUGAUGUUACUAUUAAGCUUGCCAAUAGAGAUACUAUUUCACCAGUUGGGAUUGUUAAAGAUGUUGAAGUCUUAUGUGGGAGAGUUAAAUAUCCUGCUGAUUUUCUUGUUCUUGGUUCCCCACAAGAUAGCUUUUGUCCCAUUAUAUUUGGCAGAUCCUUCUUGAACACUGUUAAUGCUAAGAUUGAUUGUGAAAAGGAUGUUGUUACAAUUGGCUUGGGGGGUAUGAAACAUGAGUUUAAUUUUGUUAAGUUCCGUAGACAACCCCAUGAUAAAGAAUUGCCUAGUAAGGAUGAAAUUAUUGGUCUUGCUUCUAUUGCCGUGCCUCCUAUUGAUCCGUUAGAACAAUAUUUUCUAGACCAUGAAAAUGAUAUGUUUAUGAAUGAAAGAAGGGAGAUAGAUGAAGUAUUCCUUCAACAGGGUCCUAUUUUGAAACACAACUUGCCUGUUGAAAUCCUAGGGGGUCCCCCUCCACCCAAGGGUGAUCCCGUGUUUGAGCUCAAACCUUUACCUGAUAAUCCUAAAUAUGCUUAUCUUGAUGAAAAGAAGAUAUAUCCUGUUAUUAUUAGCGCUAACCUUUCAGAGCAAGAAGAGGAAAGAUUAUUGAAAACUCUGAAGAAGCAUUGUGCUGCUAUUGGAUAUACCGUGGAUGAUCUUAAGGGCAUUAGUCACACUUUAUGCCAACACAAAAUUAAAUUGGACGAAGGCUCCAAACCAGUUAGAGAUCAUCAACAACAGUUAAAUCCUAAGAUGAAAGAAGUGGUAAGAAAGGAGAUACUAAAGCUCCUUGAGGCAGGUAUAAUUUAUCCCGUUGCUGAUAGUGAUUGGGUAAGUCCUGUCCAUUGCGUCCCUAAGAAGGGAGGUAUUACUGUUGUUCCUAAUGAUAAAGAUGAAUUGAUUCCGCAAAGAAUUAUUACAGGUUAA
Molecule: ribosomal RNA, 1515 nt
Filed under: Triticum aestivum (bread wheat)
Lineage: Eukaryota; Viridiplantae; Streptophyta; Magnoliopsida; Poales; Poaceae
Description: partial small subunit ribosomal RNA
Source: RNAcentral